RNAcentral lists this ribosomal RNA (429 nucleotides) under Gemmatimonadota bacterium. RNAcentral describes it as "Gemmatimonadetes bacterium partial 16S ribosomal RNA". It matches the Rfam family "Bacterial small subunit ribosomal RNA", at positions 355 to 776 of the family's 1533-position model. Lineage: Bacteria; Pseudomonadati; Gemmatimonadota. The record is from RNAcentral.
UAGGGAAUCUUCGGCAAUGGACGAAAGUCUGACCGAGCAACGCCGCGUGAGUGAAGAAGGUUUUCGGAUCGUAAAACUCUGUUGUUAGAGAAGAACAAGGACGUUAGUAACUGAACGUCCCCUGACGGUAUCUAACCAGAAAGCCACGGCUAACUACGUGCCAGCAGCCGCGGUAAUACGUAGGUGGCAAGCGUUGUCCGGAUUUAUUGGGCGUAAAGCGAGCGCAGGCGGUUUCUUAAGUCUGAUGUGAAAGCCCCCGGCUCAACCGGGGAGGGUCAUUGGAAACUGGGAGACUAGAGUGCAGAAGAGGAGAGUGGAAUUCCAUGUGUAGCGGUGAAAUGCGUAGAUAUGUGGAGGAACACCAGUGGCGAAGGCGGCUCUCUGGUCUGUAACUGACGCUGAGGCUCGAAAGCGUGGGGAGCAAACAGG